This 408-nucleotide long non-coding RNA is filed under the name Homo sapiens (human). Its description in RNAcentral is "long non-coding RNA NONHSAT183546". The record is from RNAcentral. Lineage: Eukaryota; Metazoa; Chordata; Mammalia; Primates; Hominidae.
GCUUGAAGACAUCAAAUUGCAGUUGAAGUAACGGCAGAGGGAAAAGCAAGGGCAACAACAACAAACCACUUCACUCCUCUGGGUGGAAACAUGCAAUUGUACCAAGAGGGAUAAGGAAAAAACUGCUCAUGUUUGCAGAAAGAAGUUGGAAUAAGGGCGUGAAAGCAGGCGGGCUACUUUAGCAUCUGAUGCCAGGGAUAUGAGAGAGUAGCCCAGUGUGUUCAUUCAAAAAGUAAGGCUCUGAGGCCAGGACCAGGAAAGAUCCUGGAGUCCCCAGUCACAAUGGCAUGAAGCAGGAUGAUGCAGAGAGGCUAAGGGGGUGAUUCAGUGGGUUCUUUACCUAUAAAAAUGAUGGAAACCCCAACAUCAGCUGGGCAAGUGGCCCUGUUCAGAGCUCCUGGACUCGCC